GUAUCAAUUUGUUGUGGGGAUAUGAAGUGCACGUGUGUAUCAAUACCUCCAGCUGUAACGAUUUUUCGCUCACCAGAAAUUACUUCCGUUGAUGUUCCAAUGAUGAUAUCAAUAUUAUCCAUAACUGAAGGAUUACCACUCUUACCAAUUGCUGAAAUCUUUCCAUCUUUUAUACCAAUAUCUGCUUUAUAUACUCCUGUAUAAUCAAUAAUAAUUGCAUUGGUAAUAACAACAUCCACAACACCCUGUUCCCUUGUAAGUUGCGAAUUUUGUCCCAUACCAUCCC
Molecule: small RNA, 286 nt
Filed under: Bacillus wiedmannii
Lineage: Bacteria; Bacillati; Bacillota; Bacilli; Caryophanales; Bacillaceae
Description: 5' ureB small RNA
Rfam family: 5' ureB small RNA
Source: RNAcentral